Molecule: small nucleolar RNA, 74 nt
Organism: Alexandromys fortis (reed vole)
Lineage: Eukaryota; Metazoa; Chordata; Mammalia; Rodentia; Cricetidae
Product: small nucleolar RNA SNORD113/SNORD114 family
Exons: 1
Source: RefSeq, a predicted model, not a curated record
ACGACCGAUGAUGAGAUCUGGCGUCCUUUGAGUGAUACUUGAUAAAUGCCAAGUUCUGGUAAUCUGAGGUCAAU